AGUGAACGCUGGCGGUAGGCCUAACACAUGCAAGUCGAACGGCAGCACAGUAAGAGCUUGCUCUUACGGGUGGCGAGUGGCGGACGGGUGAGGAAUACAUCGGAAUCUACUUUUUCGUGGGGGAUAACGUAGGGAAACUUACGCUAAUACCGCAUACGACCUACGGGUGAAAGCAGGGGAUCUUCGGACCUUGCGCGAUUGAAUGAGCCGAUGUCGGAUUAGCUAGUUGGCGGGGUAAAGGCCCACCAAGGCGACGAUCCGUAGCUGGUCUGAGAGGAUGAUCAGGCACACUGGAACUGAGACAAGGUCCAGACUCCUAAGGGAGGCAGCAGUGGGGAAUAUUGGACAAUGGGCGCAAGCCUGAUCCAGCCAUACCGCGUGGGUGAAGAAGGCCUUCGGGUUGUAAAGCCCUUUUGUUGGGAAAGAAAAGCAGCAGGUUAAUACCCCGCUGUUCUGACGGUACCCAAAGAAUAAGCACCGGCUAACUUCGUG
This 492-nucleotide ribosomal RNA is filed under the name uncultured bacterium. RNAcentral's name for it is "partial 16S ribosomal RNA". It matches the Rfam family "Bacterial small subunit ribosomal RNA", at positions 29 to 507 of the family's 1533-position model. The record is from RNAcentral.